GCAGUCUGUUCAACUGCAGGCUUCAGCACAUUAUUCUCUGCCUGCCUUCCUCGAAACCUAAUGGGAAGCUGCUGCUUGAAGUUAGACCUAACCCCAGUCCGAACGCUCAUGUCAAGCUACUCCCUUGUGAGUCCUUCCAAAGACUACUGAAUCAUACAUACCCAACCUCUGUGGCCUUACCUUCUCCUCCUUGUGUCAUUAAACCCACCUUCCUCAGUGAGUACUUAUAUCCCUCUGCCCACUUCACCACCGAGUACACGUCUCAAGUAGUUCCCUGGGUCUCCUUUGUCUCACCUGCUCUUUGAUGAUGUUCCAAGGCUUUCUUAGCUGAGGUGAUGACUGUGGUCUGAAGCCGGAGGAUGGACGAUAAGGACUCAGUAAGAGGGAAAAGAAAAGAAAGCAUGCCAAUUUCCACCUUUUUUUUAUGGCCUCCUAAAUCGUUUCCUGUUCUUGCAGGUAGCCUCCUUGGAUCCUACGGCGGUGCAGGAAGUCAUGCCUAUUUCCGCCGUCACCGACGUCGUAAGAAGUUGGAUUAAAGGUCAAGGGACGCUAGCGUUCCAUGGUCGUUUUAUCUUCGGAUGCAGGAGUUGGUCUUUGUCGGUGUUAUCUAAUAUUUCUUGUUAGUUCUGGAAUGGUGUUAUCCCAUCUGAGCUUUUCUCCCUUCCCGACUAUCCUUCUUCAAACCCCACACCACUGCCCGCAAGAUCAACUGUUCUUGACCUUGUAAGACCUUUUCUUGAUCUUGUAAGGCCCAAUUCUCCAUCUGUUUUCCUCGUCGUCUGCUUCAUCUUCAUCGUCUCCUCACUCCACGUGGAACGAGUCAAUGCAAACUCUCUUCCUCUCUUCUCGCUCCUCUUCUGCCCUCCCCUCCUCUCUAUCCCUCCUGAGCUAUUUCACUAGAUGUGCUUCGAGAUUAUCUAGCUCUUCUUACUUUUAAACUUGUUAAGAUCCACUUUGAGAGAGGAGCUUUAAUAGGUUAUCAUUUCUAAGGUAGAAUAUCUCCAACUGUUUCAAUAUUAUUAUGUUUUGCAGCCAUCCAUUUGUUUUGCUUCACAUGUUAGGCAGUAUAUUCUUCUUCCCGUCAUAAGUCGAGCUGGUACAGCAUGUACAAGGCUAUGGAUCUUUUCGAUGCUUUUUGUAUGCCAGUUUUCUGUGAUUUCCAAUGAAAUAUGCCUUUUGGUGUUAUCA
This is a non-coding RNA of Musa acuminata subsp. malaccensis (wild Malaysian banana), 1188 nucleotides long. NCBI's taxonomy places the organism in Eukaryota, Viridiplantae, Streptophyta, Magnoliopsida, Zingiberales, Musaceae. The record is from RefSeq and is a predicted model, not a curated record.